RNAcentral lists this transfer RNA (73 nucleotides) under Rhizobiales bacterium GAS188. RNAcentral describes it as "tRNA_Val_TAC". It matches the Rfam family "tRNA". From Rfam's summary of the family: Transfer RNA (tRNA) molecules are approximately 80 nucleotides in length. Their secondary structure includes four short double-helical elements and three loops (D, anti-codon, and T loops). Further hydrogen bonds mediate the characteristic L-shaped molecular structure. tRNAs have two regions of fundamental functional importance: the anti-codon, which is responsible for specific mRNA codon recognition, and the 3' end, to which the tRNAs corresponding amino acid is attached (by aminoacyl-tRNA synthetases). tRNAs cope with the degeneracy of the genetic code in two manners: having more than one tRNA (with a specific anti-codon) for a particular amino acid; and 'wobble' base-pairing, i.e. permitting non-standard base-pairing at the 3rd anti-codon position. Lineage: Bacteria; Pseudomonadati; Pseudomonadota; Alphaproteobacteria; Hyphomicrobiales. The record is from RNAcentral.
GGAUGGUUUGCUCAGUUGGUAGAGCAUCUAGUUUACACCCAGAGUGUCGGCGGUUCGAGCCUGUCACCGCCCA